Triticum urartu is the source of this 2606-nucleotide long non-coding RNA. RefSeq lists it as uncharacterized. The record is from RefSeq and is a predicted model, not a curated record. NCBI's taxonomy places the organism in Eukaryota, Viridiplantae, Streptophyta, Magnoliopsida, Poales, Poaceae.
UGGGCCUUUUGUGCCGGCCCAUUAGGCAAAGACCAAGGGGAUCGAACUGAAUCGGGCGAAGAGGCGAUGGACAGCCGAGGGAAUGGCUCGAUCCUGCCGCCCCGGCAGAUGCGGGGAUCGCGCGAGGGAAUGGCUCCUCGAUCCAGCCGCCGCGAGCGAUGCGGGGAUCUAGCCGCCGCGGGUAAUGCGGGGAUUGCUCGAUCCAGCUGACACACGCGGACGAUUCAGGCCGGCGCUUUGUUUGAUCGAAACUGCUCCACCGAGGUUUGAAGGCGCAAUCAUUCUUCAGUUUCUCUUCACACAUUCAUGGCUGGUAAUGUUCCGUCCUUUCCGCUGCUUCGGGCUAGAGGUGCGUGUAUAUAUGCUGCCUCUCAUUAGCAGUCUUCACUCACACCCUUUCCGCUCCGGCAGCAGAACAUCCUUCAGCGUGAUGCUCGAUAGGCUUCCCUGUAUUUCUUUUCAGUUAAUGUGUGAUCUUUCUCCCACCAGGCAAUUACCUUGUCCUGAUGUCCUGUUAUUCUAAAAAAAAAUAUUACAUACAGGUGAUGUUCAUGCUGGUUGUAGUCGACUGACUUGGUUGGAAUUGGUACUGGCAUUUUCUUAGUUCGGCUGCUCAUAAUUACCAAUGGCUUGACAGGUAAUUACUAUCUUUCGUGUCUUACCAUCCAUAUUCUUAUGCCACACUUUGCUUAGAUUGUAUGUUCCUGUGUUAUAUGGAACAGGUUAUUUAGAACAGUAUAUUAGAAUGUUCCAAAAACGUAGCAAUGCUGUCGUAGAGGGAGGAAAAGCCAAAUAUCUUCUGCUUCUUCUAUCCAUAAACGAGCAAAGCCGAACAAUCCUGUGGAUAAUUUCUUUCCUAAUUACACAAGCGACAUCCAGGGGAAAAUCAUGUCGCCCGUGUUAAAUACAGAAAACAUGAAAUUUUUACACAAUCAGGGCCAUUGCGUGAUGCCACUGGCUGGAUACAAUUGCCUCACCAUUCUUACUCUUGCAGCAAAUCCUCCAGCGGUAUGGUUCUCGGCUAAGGUUUCCCUCCAUCCACAUUUUUACCUUCAUCGUGAAUUUUCUUUAAUGCAAUUUCUACCGUGUGCCUGUUUGGUGAUGCUUCUGUGUAACUCUCUACUUUAGAUUUGGCAUGGCUAGAUCUUUAGAAAGAUAUACAUCUUUGUCGAUUAUUGAAGGUCAGGUGUUUGUCAAAUUGGUUCUUUGCCAUCCAUGGUGUUGUUGUCUGGCUUGGCCAUAUGUUAAUUGGUGAACUUUAUAAUUAUUAAUAUAUACCGAUAAAUGUUGCAAGUUUAUUCAUUCAGUGGGAUCAUGAGGUCAGGACAUAGAGUCCUGCAGCAAAAUAUGAAAAAACCUAAUUAGAGUGACAUAAUUAUAUUUUACAAAGCAAAGCACUUCUAGAAAGCUUGUGUGAUGAAGCUGUCCCAUGAUUCUUCAUAUGCUGUUUCUAUCCCAUAUCAAUAAAAUAUGGAUGCUCUGUUUCAUACUCUUUAGCUCAUUAGUAAUUCUUCAAGAAAACACACGCACAUAACUACACAUUUUAUGGAUUAUUUGGAGUGACACAUUUUCAUCACUGCUGUCAAUUCACUAUAUAGUAGUGUCAUUUCAGUUAAUAAUGUGUUAGUCGUUACACUUACAUAUUUUAAACGAGAGUCUUUCCCCAAUUACGUUUCCCUCACAGCAUUGUUGAGAGCGUCAGAGAAGGCGUGACCAGUCCUGCCAGUGUAAACUGGCCAGUGCAAGGAGUGUGCUCGCUGUAAACCUCUGUGACCUCCUCAGGAUCAAUGUCAACCGGGGUAUGCUGAUCGACUAUGUGCCAUCCCGCUUCACCAUCAGCAGGAACCAAUAUUCGUCUUAGUCCGGACCUCAACCUUAAGUAUUGUUCCGAUGCCGUUCAGAUUCAGAAUGCUGUAUGUGACAUGUGAUAUUUUAUAUUACACAAUAUACUUGCAGGUUUAGAAGAAUUAUUCCCUAUGACCAUCACUUUUAUGUCUUUUUAACAUGAUCAGGCUAUGGAAGUGGCCAGGAUGGCUAGGGCAUCAAGUAUUAUCAGGGUGGACUUGAACCCUGCAAAAUAUGUACAAGUUACAGUCUAUUGUUAUCUUCAAAAAGAAAAAAGAAUGAUUUCUGGUAAAUGUUAAUGGACACACACUGAACUUCAGCAAAAAAAAAAAAGCCAGCUAAGAAAUUUGGCUGCACCGUCUUUGUAAACCCAAAGGAUCACAUUUCAAGCAAUAGUUAUGUUAAGUUCUUUGCCUAAGCAUACAUUAAUCCCUUAAUUUGUUCAUGGGAUGCAAUAUUGUAUCAAAUGCUCGCAAUUGAAUUUGCUCCUGGUGCUUGUCGAGAUGACAAACAGUGGAGGCAACAGAGCCGUGGAUUGCACUUGCCACAUCCACGCCAUGAUAUCUGCCUUUGAAUGCGUUCAUGAUGGGUGAGGCGUGGUCAGGCUGGUGGGCGCCCCGCAGAAGGAGGCAGUGUUCAAUACCCACCCAAUGAACUUCAUCAAUGAGAAGACCUUCUCAACACUCGCCAAUAGCCAGCAGUCUUUAGUUACUGUGUACAUGAACAUUUUGCACAGUAAUGGUUUGUAGUUUCUUUGUUUU